Long non-coding RNA from Triticum urartu, 1840 nucleotides. RefSeq lists it as uncharacterized. Lineage: Eukaryota; Viridiplantae; Streptophyta; Magnoliopsida; Poales; Poaceae. The record is from RefSeq and is a predicted model, not a curated record.
CCCACCGAUUGGAGAGAUUCUCACGCUUCAAAAUUUGAAUCCCGUCCCAGUUCCGGUCCACAACCCCGAUAGAACGCGAGGUACAUCCCGAGCGCCCAGAGAGAAAUCCCUGCUGUCCAUCGAUGGACCGGCCGCCACCGGCAAUGUACCUCUCGCCGGAAUCAUACACCCAACUCCUUCUAAGCUUCUCCUCCAUCCCUGAUCUAGAUCCAAAUCGCGGUUGGACGCAACAAGAAGAACAAGAGGAGGGGGUGUUGCUGAUUUGGCCGGUAGCGGCGGCGAUUGGGCAAGCUGGAGUGAGACUGAACAUGAAUGCCAGUCCGACUCCUCCACACCAGAUCCAUCCGCACAGAGUGCCGAGGCCCACCGCCAAGUGAAUCGUGAGAACCAAGAUCUCCGGCGAGACUCGCCGCCGCGAGAUUUCGGCGGAGACACUUGGUCAGGAGAUGAUUCGUUGCAAUCUCCAAUCUCAGACAUUCAGGCAGAUAUUUCUUACCAGCAGGAAUAGGAAACCAACACUACAAACGUGCUGCAAUCAGAACGGUCUCCAAGUGACCAAUGUACAUGGAAAGGAAGGAUACGUCGUGGGGAAAUACCAUAUCAGCAUCAGUCUAAAGAGGGAAGGGUUUGUGCGCUUGAAAAAGCAAUGCGUAGCUUUGUUGAACGGAAGUCUGGACAAGUGGUCGCCCCUGAGAUUGGAAGAGUAUUCGACUCAAUCGCAGAGGCAUUUGAGUUCUACAACCUCUAUUCUUGGGAGAUUGGGUUUGGCAUCCGAUAUGGUCAAUAUAGGACAAAUGCACAGAAAAGCAGAACCGUUCAAGACAUCGUUUGUGGUUGUGCGGCCAAAGAAAGAAAACACGAAGUCAGUAGCAUGCAACUGCCAAGCAUUGAUCAGACUACACCGUACAACGGAUAAUGGAUGGUAUAUACACGAUUUCAGACCUGAACACAACCACCAUUUGUCAUCAUUGUGUGGCAAGAAACUACAUUGGCCAUCACACAGGCACAUUGACACACACACCAAAGAUAUAGUGAAGCACUUGAGGAGCAACAACAUUGGGAUAACCAAGGUUUUUUGUGUCAUCGCAAGCUUCUUUGGAUCAAUGGAGAGUGUACCAUUCAACAAAAUAUCUCUCAAGUAUAUGUGCAAGAGGAUGAACUAAGAGACUGCAGAUGAUGACAUCAGGAAAACAGUUGAGCUCUUCUCUGAACUUAAGAAGAAUGACCCAAUGUUUGCUGACAGUGUCCUUGUUGACAGCCAUAGCAAAAUUCAGGCCCUUAUGUGGACCAAUGGAAGGAGUAGAUACCAAUACAAAAUUUUUGGAGAUUCUAUCACAUUCGACACCACAUAUCGUACAAACCAGUACGAUAUGCCAUUCGGCCUAUUUGUUGGUGUCAACCAUCAUUUGCAGAGCAUAAUAUUAGGAGGUGUUAUGAUGAGAAACGAGAAGCAAGAAUCAUUCGAGUGGGUAUUCAAGGAAUUUGUUUCAUUGAUGGGAGGUAAAGCACUUGUAACUAUCCUAACAGACCAAUGCCGUGCAAUGGAGUUGGCUAUUGCUAAAGUGUUGCCAAGAACGAAACACCGGUGGUGCAAAUGGACCUCAUUUAUGCGCAUCUCGCACUUGAAAUAUCCAUGACAGCGAACUCUCCAAUACCUGAAAGAUGCUUAGAACUUAUCUUCAACGCGUGCUGCACUUAAUAUACAGGGGACGAAGAACUUGUGUCAUUUGCAUAUCUCUUUUGAAGUACUUUGUCAACACACGUAUCACACUUUAAAGAUCGAUGCAGUCAUGCAGAAGAACUAAAAGACAAUGUUCUUAAAUGUGUACGGACUUUGCUA